This 382-nucleotide long non-coding RNA is filed under the name Coffea arabica (coffee). RNAcentral's name for it is "long non-coding RNA (CARA_LNC006026)". The record is from RNAcentral. Lineage: Eukaryota; Viridiplantae; Streptophyta; Magnoliopsida; Gentianales; Rubiaceae.
AGGUAUUGUAUGGUGUCUACCCUAGAGGAUUGCAUUUUCAUGCUAGGCUUACCCUUGGCACAAAAAGGGUUCCCCCAUAGGACAUGCAUACCGAUUUUAUAGUCUUACUUACUAAUUCAGGGUAUUUUUUUUUUGUUUUUCCCCCUCCCCUGCAUUCAUAAAAAUGCUUUAAUAAGGUGAAAAUAUUUUUUCUAUGUCUGAUAAAAUUUGAAAAUUACAAGUAUUACUUGAUUCUUGGGCAGGCCUUGCAAUGAAAACAUGAAGGAUCAAUCUGGAAGCAUUAGGCUAAAGUCCCUAAGAGAUUUUAUAAUUGUUUUUCAAAGAAAAUUCUGUACAUUUGACUUGUUAAUGCAUUUUUGUCCCAAAGAAAAGGAGACAAAAA